UCGAGUCCAGGGAAGGGGAGGGGGGGGAAGUUCAAGGCUGUCGCAGUCGCCGAAGCUGACGUUGCACGCACCUUUUCUCCUUUCUCUUUCUAGUUUUCUCAUUCACCUGCGCACCCUUUGUAGACCCUCGAAAGAGGGAUCUACGUUUCUAUAUCUACACUUUUCCACAUGGCAUGUAUAGAACGUAUAUGAACGAACAUUUACAACUUUCAGCAAUGGAUCUCUUGGCUCUCGCAUCGAUGAAGAACGCAGCGAAUUGCGAUAAGUAAUGUGAAUUGCAGAUUUUCAGUGAAUCAUCGAAUCUUUGAACGCACCUUGCGCUCCUUGGUAUUCCGAGGAGCAUGCCUGUUUGAGUGUCAUCGAAUUCUCAACCAUGUCUUCGUCUUUGACAAGCAUGGCUUGGACUUUUGGGGGUUGCUGGCCACGUCAGUGUUCAGCUCUCUUGAAAUGCAUUAGCGAUGCUCGGUAAGCCUGACGUGCAUGGGCCGGCCUUUUCGACGUGAUAACGAUCGUCGUGGGCUGGAGCGUAAAGGCGAGUGGCGAAAUCGCUUCCAAUCCCCCUGACCCCACGAGUCUUCAGUUACUAGUCAAUCGUGAGACUGACGAACACGAAGGCCCCCCCAGGUCGAUCUUGAUCCUUGAUCUUGGAUCUCUCCCCCAAGCCCUUUUCCUUAGUUACUAGUUACUAGUCAGUCGUGAGACUGACGAACGCAUGUAUAGAAAGAGGGUCCCCAGGGAGGGAUGUCCCUAGGCUUUUAGGACCAUUCGAACUC
This 773-nucleotide ribosomal RNA is filed under the name Boletus fagacicola. RNAcentral describes it as "eukaryotic LSU rRNA". The stretch from base 205 to 359 matches the Rfam family "5.8S ribosomal RNA". Lineage: Eukaryota; Fungi; Basidiomycota; Agaricomycetes; Boletales; Boletaceae. The record is from RNAcentral.